Molecule: ribosomal RNA, 561 nt
Filed under: Triticum aestivum (bread wheat)
Lineage: Eukaryota; Viridiplantae; Streptophyta; Magnoliopsida; Poales; Poaceae
Description: partial small subunit ribosomal RNA
Source: RNAcentral
AUGGGCACAGACAAAGUCUCUGACUAUGGAGAUCUUCGAAUGAACAAGAGAAUCAUGUUUGAUCCUGGGGGUUGCUUAUCAAACUCUGAAACUGAAGAGGAGUCUAUUUUAAAGGAAACGAAGCCAAGGGGAAGAUUUUGGGCACUUGAGCAAAUUGAGGAUGAAGAGGUUAACUCUGCAAUUGAAGACACAGAACAUCGAAAUCCUUACCUAGCCACUCUGGCAAAUGCUUUUGCCUGUGCCAAACAAGUGAAGAAGAUUGACAAGAGAAAGGGGAAGAUACUGAAAUGCAAUGGACAGACUGAUAAAAAAUGUUGCAACAGGGACAGAGCGCUUGAAGAUAAAAACAGGCAAGUAAACUUCCCUUCGUGUAGUGGGAAUAAUAGGAGACCAUCUGCAAGAUGUGGUUUGAUCCAGGAUGAUCAACGGUAUCAAAUUUUCAGAGGAAGGAGAGUGGAUUUAGGCAAUGGAGCUGAACCCAAUUGGAUGCAUUGGAGGUGUGUAGAGAGAUUUGGGAAUUCAUUAGCACACAAACCGAUAGAUGCCCCUCUCUCAGUAUGA